RNAcentral lists this ribosomal RNA (546 nucleotides) under Triticum aestivum (bread wheat). RNAcentral describes it as "partial small subunit ribosomal RNA". Lineage: Eukaryota; Viridiplantae; Streptophyta; Magnoliopsida; Poales; Poaceae. The record is from RNAcentral.
AUGUUAUCAACUUUAGAGGGGUUCAACCCGUGUUUAUCCCUGCCGUAUGGAAAUUGAGAGUUCCCCCUAAAAUUCAUGUAUUUCUCUGGCUUCUCUCCAAAAACAUUGAUGACUAGGGAUAACCUUAGGAAGAGACACACCAUCAAACCCCUUGAUUGUGUUUACUGCUUGGAACAAGAGUCUUGUUCUCACCUAUUGUUUGAAUGUAUAGUUGCUAAACAUCUCUCGGCCCACAUUGAGGAAUAUUUAUCUAGUCAGAUUGGCUCAUCCUUCGAAUCUGCCGCCAGAUUCUGGAUUGCUACCAAAAAGUGCUCAGUUUUAAACACUGUUAGCUCAGCUGUCCUUUGGUGCCUCUGGAAAUAUAGAAAUGCUAUGAUUUUUAGUAACACCUCCUGGAUUUCCAUUCCGCAGGUCUUGAGGUUGAUCAGGAACAUGGUGAGGAACUGGGCGAUUCUCUCCUCCGGAUCGGACAAGGACAAGUUGAGGAGCUUCCAGGAAACCCUAAUAAGAUCCCUCCAGAAAUCGUUGGCGAUCACUUGUGGCUGA